This 400-nucleotide ribosomal RNA is filed under the name Carnobacterium sp. AZTITEMP31. RNAcentral's name for it is "bacterial SSU rRNA". It matches the Rfam family "Bacterial small subunit ribosomal RNA", at positions 978 to 1378 of the family's 1533-position model. The record is from RNAcentral. Lineage: Bacteria; Bacillati; Bacillota; Bacilli; Lactobacillales; Carnobacteriaceae.
GUCUUGACNUCCUUUGACCNCUCGAGAGANCGAGCUUUCCCUUCGGGGACAAAGUGACAGGUGGUGCAUGGUUGUCGUCAGCUCGUGUCGUGAGAUGUUGGGUUAAGUCCCGCAACGAGCGCAACCCUUAUUACUAGUUGCCAGCAUUCAGUUGGGCACUCUAGUGAGACUGCCGGUGACAAACCGGAGGAAGGUGGGGAUGACGUCAAAUCAUCAUGCCCCUUAUGACCUGGGCUACACACGUGCUACAAUGGAUGGUACAACGAGUCGCGAAGUCGUGAGGCCAAGCUAAUCUCUUAAAGCCAUUCUCAGUUCGGAUUGUAGGCUGCAACUCGCCUACAUGAAGCCGGAAUCGCUAGUAAUCGCGGAUCAGAACGCCGCGGUGAAUACGUUCCCGGGA